CUUCAUGAUAGAUUGUUUGGGAAAUGAACCAGAGGUAUCUAAUGGUAAUCACAGAGAGGGACUAGCAAGCAAUUUUAAUUGUAGCUUAUUCAACGUUAAAACAAUUUUUCACUAUAAGGCCACACCAAUUUAACUCCUGGUUCGACGGACCCGACCGCAGUCACCGCACCUAUUUUUUUCAAAACAGAUUUUUUUUUUUUAAUUUAUAUUCCCCGCUUCCCGC
Molecule: long non-coding RNA, 223 nt
Filed under: Mytilus galloprovincialis (Mediterranean mussel)
Lineage: Eukaryota; Metazoa; Mollusca; Bivalvia; Mytilida; Mytilidae
Source: RNAcentral